RNAcentral lists this transfer RNA (72 nucleotides) under Bos taurus (domestic cattle). It matches the Rfam family "tRNA". Rfam says of the family: Transfer RNA (tRNA) molecules are approximately 80 nucleotides in length. Their secondary structure includes four short double-helical elements and three loops (D, anti-codon, and T loops). The record is from Rfam by way of RNAcentral. Lineage: Eukaryota; Metazoa; Chordata; Mammalia; Artiodactyla; Bovidae. RNAcentral also lists the same sequence under 5 other names.
UCCCUGGUAGUCCAGUGGUUAAGACUUUGCCUUCCAAUGCAGAGGAUCCAGGUUAAAUCCCUGGUAGGGGAG